Molecule: long non-coding RNA, 495 nt
Filed under: Ananas comosus (pineapple)
Lineage: Eukaryota; Viridiplantae; Streptophyta; Magnoliopsida; Poales; Bromeliaceae
Description: long non-coding RNA (ACOM_LNC019193)
Source: RNAcentral
GAAUUUAAAAACUUUGAAUACCAACCAUCAAAUUUUUAGCCGACUGCGCAAGGUACAGAUCAAUUUAGCUUCCUACUCUUAAGUCUUAACAGCAAAUAGCUUAGAAUGCAUACAUUAGACAAAGCUAGAAUCUAUGGAGAUGGAACCCAAGCAUCUCCUUUUCAUUUCUAACACCUGGGCUCCAUGGCUCUUGUGUGCAUGCAAGUCUCCGGCCUUUGCGACCGCUGAUUCACCGACUCCACGGGCCUGCAGCCAACAUGAAACCUCCGCGUCUUUCGCCGCAGCUGCAGCUUUGCGGCAAUCCUGGAUUAUUUCUGCGAGAUCUUUAUACUCCGCGGCCGCGGAGGAGCUCUUCUUUGCUAUCUCUAUGUUCCCCACCUGCACUUUCUUCUCCCUCUCCAUCGAUCGAUCGAUCGAACGAACGAUAUCCUCACCUUCUAGCUAUUUGAUGUGUUAAUGUUAGCAAGUGCUUAUCCGCUAUCUCAUUUAUACCUC